GACGAACGCUGGCGGCGUGCUUAACACAUGCAAGUCGAACGGAAAGGCCCUGCUUUUGUGGGGUGCUCGAGUGGCGAACGGGUGAGUAACACGUGAGUAACCUGCCCUUGACUUUGGGAUAACUUCAGGAAACUGGGGCUAAUACCGGAUAGGAGCUCCUGCUGCAUGGUGGGGGUUGGAAAGUUUCGGCGGUUGGGGAUGGACUCGCGGCUUAUCAGCUUGUUGGUGGGGUAGUGGCUUACCAAGGCUUUGACGGGUAGCCGGCCUGAGAGGGUGACCGGCCACAUUGAGACUGAGAUACGGCCCAGACUCCUACGGGAGGCAGAAGUGGGGAAUAUUGCACAAUGGGCGGAAGCCUGAUGCAGCAACGCCGCGUGCGGGAUGACGGCCUUCGGGUUGUAAACCGCUUUCGCCUGUGACGAAGCGUGAGUGACGGUAAUGGGUAAAGAAGCACCGGCUAACUACGUG
Molecule: ribosomal RNA, 468 nt
Filed under: uncultured bacterium
Lineage: Bacteria
Description: partial 16S ribosomal RNA
Rfam family: Bacterial small subunit ribosomal RNA
Source: RNAcentral